UAUAAAACAGUUUGUAAGCUUGGGCUUUCGGUAUAAGUUUCAGUUUUCACUGUAAUAGUGUAUUUAUCCAUCAAUGAUAUGUAUCACAUUUAUUAUUAAUCAUUGUUUUACUCACCACCGCUAGAUGGCCCUGUAAAAUUCUUGAAGCGGAUGACAGGAGCUAACGGGAAGUUAAAAUUUAUCUGUUUUUCUAGUGUUUUCGCAGCAAUUUCAAUAAUUUGAACUUUAAUUUUGUGUGAAAUAAUUGUUGAAACAAUAAUUUAAAAAUCAAUAUAUUACGCGGAUUGCAUGCACUAACUGGUUUGAUAAUAACGCCACAUCCGUGUGAGCCGUGAGCAGUUUAGUUGACAAAAAGUAUACGUGAGCAUGUAAUAAAUGAAAGUAGGCAACGAAAGAGCGUCUAUUUUAUUUGGUCAAACAUUAUCCCGAAGAAUACCUCAUUUAUUAAAAGAAAUGGCCAAAGUCAUUGAUUUUGGCGAACAUUUCUUGCAGUAAGUUAGAGAACAGAUUCUUUCAUAAGCCCAUCUAACAACCAAUUUAUAUUAUAUACAGUCUUCUCAUAAUAUGUGCCAGCUGUGAAAACCUGCUCUUUUGCCCUGGAGUUGCAAAUCUAUACCGAAUGUAAUUUGUUUAGAGCAACACAUAUCAACGAAACACUUUCCAUAGGUCGGACACCUUACUUGCCUGACAAUUGCCACUACCAAGAUGCGCGACCACUUUUUUGUAGACAAAUCGCCAUGAUAUUUUUUUCCUAAUUUUGUUUUCUAAAACACCUCUUUCAUUUUAUGUUUGAAAACCAAUAAACAUCUCAAACAUAUGGA
Molecule: unclassified non-coding RNA, 821 nt
Filed under: Ceratitis capitata (Mediterranean fruit fly)
Lineage: Eukaryota; Metazoa; Arthropoda; Insecta; Diptera; Tephritidae
Description: ankyrin repeat and BTB/POZ domain-containing protein 2, transcript variant X1
Source: RNAcentral